AUUCCCUCUGGCUCUCCAAUUUCUCUCUAGUUUUACAACACGUUAUCAGCACGAUUUCUCUAUCUCUAAAUUCAGAGCCUCAACGCUCUCUCUCUCUCUUCCGAGUUUUUCUCAUCUAUGGAGAUGGGAUAUACAAGCUGCCAGUUUAUGCUUCCCUAUGAAAGUGGGAUACUGGGCUCUCUUGCUCUAUCCUCAAAAUGAAGAGACGCUCCUCCUCCUCCUUCACCUUCAUGAUCUUCUUCUUCUCUCUUUAGUCCUUCUUCUCUUCCUCUUCCUGGAGAUGAUGAUGGUGAUGCUUCAGGACAAAUACGCCAACUUGCUCUGCUUCAUAAAGACUCAACCAGUCAAAAUUGAAGCCAACCCAUUCAAGGAAACCUGCAACAGAGUGGUCUAUGGGCGGUAAAUGAUUUUUCUGAAUAUAUUAUUAUUUGGUGGUUUAAUUUAUGUUGGUUUAUUCUAUAAAGUUAAUUUAAUGAGGUGGUAAUAUGUUUGUCGAAAAGAAAAAAAAAAGGGGAGAUUAGCAUCGCUUUUGAUGAGCAAUAAUGGAAGCUUAAAAAAAGGGGAGAUUAGCAUCGCUUUUGAUGAGCAAUAAUGGAAGCUUAAAAAAAGGGGAGAUUAGCAUCGCUUUUGAUGAGCAAUAAUGGAAGCUUUGCUGUCUUUUGGAUUAGUCACAACGCACAGAAAAUUCCCGUGUUUGACGUUUGUUGAAUGAAAUCACACAAGCAUGGAAAAGGACAUAUAGCAUCACUGACCAUUCUACUAUUCACUUUCCCUAUUUUUUUUAUUAUAUACUCAUAUAAGAACAUAUAGUAUAAUAAUAUUUUUAGUGGUGAUUUUAUCUCCCCAUUUAUUUUAUUUAUUGUACGGUGUAGGUUUAUUACCUAUACAACAAUAUUUACUUUAAAGAUGGUGUAGGUUUAUUACCCAUACAACAAUAUUUACUUUAAAGGGUGGUGCGGGUUUAUCGUCCACGCCUUUACUUUUAUUUAAAUGUAUGGAGCAGAAUUAGUGCCCAUAUAAGCAUAUUUACUUUAUCGUAAAUUUACUUUAAAGGGUGGUGCGGGUUUAUCGUCCACGCCUUUACUGUUAUUUAAAUGUAUGAAGCAGAAUUAGUGCCCAUACAAGCACGUUUACUUUACCGCACAUUUAAAGUAUGGUGCGGGAUUAACGUCCAUACAGCAAUUUAAUUUAUGAAUUUACUUUACCGCACAUUUAAAGUAUGGUGCGGGAUUAACGCCCAUACAAGUAAUUUAUUUACCAGUAAAUUUAUUUUAUGGAUUAAUUGUGCUGUAUGAUGAGUUUUUACAGUAUACAGAUCAGGACCAGAAGUUCCUUGAUCCUCAUCAUACAUUUACAUCAGGACUUGAAGAUCCUUGAUGAUGAUAUUGAUAUGAGAGCUGGCAGUCUCUCCGGUCCUAUACAUGUAAACAAGAGAUCGGACUUGAAGAUCCUUGAUCCUUGACAUGUAAAUAAGGACCUAGAGUUUCUUGAUGAUGUAACAGUACCGUAUUGGUUAAAAGUGCCGUACACAUGAAUAUUAACUGUACUGGCAAAUGUACUGCACAUAUGAAUAGAUAUGUAUUCAUGA
RNAcentral lists this long non-coding RNA (1588 nucleotides) under Prunus dulcis (almond). Its description in RNAcentral is "sRNA ncRNA". Lineage: Eukaryota; Viridiplantae; Streptophyta; Magnoliopsida; Rosales; Rosaceae. The record is from RNAcentral.